RNAcentral lists this ribosomal RNA (492 nucleotides) under uncultured bacterium. Its description in RNAcentral is "partial 16S ribosomal RNA". It matches the Rfam family "Bacterial small subunit ribosomal RNA", at positions 28 to 507 of the family's 1533-position model. The record is from RNAcentral.
GACGAACGCUGGCGGCGUGCCUAACACAUGCAAGUUGAGCGACGAACCAGGGCUUGCCCUGGGGCAAAGCAGCGAACGGGUGAGUAACACGUGGGUAACCUACCCCGAUAACCGGGACAACCCGAGGAAACUCGGGCUAAUACCGGAUGUGCUCACUGGACUUCGGUUCAGUGCGUAAAGGAAGCUUCGGCCUCCGUAUCGGGAGGGGCCGCGGCCCAUUAGUUUGUUGGUGAGGUAACGGCUCACCAAGACCGCGAUGGGUAGCUGGUCUGAGAGGACGAUCAGCCACACUGGGACUGAGACACGGCCCAGACUCCUACGGGAGGCAGCAGUGGGGAAUCUUGCGCAAUGCGCGAAAGCGUGACGCAGCAACGCCGCGUGGGGGAAGAAGGCCUUCGGGUUGUAAACCCCUUUCAGGAGGGACGAAGGUUCGGCGGUGAAUAGCCGUCCGGACUGACGGUACCUCCACAAGAAGCCCCGGCUAACUACGUG